This 327-nucleotide ribosomal RNA is filed under the name uncultured bacterium. Its description in RNAcentral is "bacterial SSU rRNA". It matches the Rfam family "Bacterial small subunit ribosomal RNA", at positions 30 to 358 of the family's 1533-position model. The record is from RNAcentral.
AUUGAACGCUGGCGGCAUGCCUUACACAUGCAAGUCGAACGGCAGCACGGGAGCAAUCCUGGUGGCGAGUGGCGAACGGGUGAGUAAUAUAUCGGAACGUGCCCGGUCGUGGGGAUAACGUAGCGAAAGCUACGCUAAUACCGCAUACGAUCUACGGAUGAAAGCGGGGGGAUCGCAAGACCUCGCGCGAUUGGAGCGGCCGAUAUCAGAUUAGGUAGUUGGUGAGGUAAAGGCUCACCAAGCCGACGAUCUGUAGCUGGUCUGAGAGGACGACCAGCCACACCUGGGACUGAGACACGGCCAGACUCCUACGGGAGCAGCAGUGGG